This is a non-coding RNA of Branchiostoma floridae (Florida lancelet), 86 nucleotides long. Lineage: Eukaryota; Metazoa; Chordata; Leptocardii; Amphioxiformes; Branchiostomatidae. The record is from Rfam.
CUAUGUGUGGAUAGUGUUCAGCACCAAGGAUAGACCUGUUCCUAAGUGUGGAUAGUGUUCAGCACCAAGGACAGACCUGUUCCUAU